This 490-nucleotide ribosomal RNA is filed under the name uncultured bacterium. Its description in RNAcentral is "partial 16S ribosomal RNA". It matches the Rfam family "Bacterial small subunit ribosomal RNA", at positions 29 to 507 of the family's 1533-position model. The record is from RNAcentral.
AUUGAACGCUGGCGGCAGGCCUAACACAUGCAAGUCGAACGGUAACAGGAAGAAGCUUGCUUCUUUGCGGACGAGGGGCGGACGGGUGAGAAAUGUCUGGGAAACUGCCUGAUGGAGGGGGAUAACUACUGGAAACGGUAGCUAACACCGCAUAACGUCGCAAGACCAAAGAGGGGGACCUACGGGCGGCUGGCCAUCGGAGGUGCCCAGAUGGGAUUAGCUAGUAGGUGGGGUAACGGCUCACCUAGUUGACGAGCUGUAGCUGGUCUGAGAGGAUGAUCGGCCACACUGGAACUGAGACACGGUCAAGAGGCCUACGGGAGGCAGCAGUGGGGAAUAUUGCACAAUGGGCGCAAGCCUGAUGCAGCGAUGGCGCGUGUAUGAAGAAGGCCUUCGGGUUGUAAAGUACUUUCAGCGGGGAGGAAGCGAGUAAAGUUAAUACCUAGGCUCAUUGACGUUAACCGCAGAAGAAGCACCGGCUAACUCCGUG